Molecule: non-coding RNA, 225 nt
Organism: Paramuricea clavata
Lineage: Eukaryota; Metazoa; Cnidaria; Anthozoa; Malacalcyonacea; Plexauridae
Source: the annotation of a GenBank genome assembly
GCUUGUUCCCAGCUUGUUGACAAGUUAAUUGUCAACGUCAACGGCUUGUAACGCAUGUUGACAACUUGCUACAAGGCUGUUGAGCUCAACAGACGUGUUACAAGUUGUUCCAACAACUUGUUAUCGUCCUGCAAUUCAACAAUUUGUCAACAAGUUGUGAGUGACAAUCUUGUAGCAACUUGAUAAAAUGACAGGAUUGUUACAACUUGUUGACAAGCUCACUAC